Molecule: ribosomal RNA, 493 nt
Filed under: uncultured bacterium
Lineage: Bacteria
Description: bacterial SSU rRNA
Rfam family: Bacterial small subunit ribosomal RNA
Source: RNAcentral
UAGUCCACGCCGUAAACGAUGUCUACUAGCCGUUGGGGUACUUGAGACCUUAGUGGCGCAGCUAACGCACUAAGUAGACCGCCUGGGGAGUACGGCCGCAAGGUUAAAACUCAAAUGAAUUGACGGGGGCCCGCACAAGCGGUGGAGCAUGUGGUUUAAUUCGAUGCAACGCGAAGAACCUUACCAGGUCUUGACAUCCAGAGAACUUUCCAGAGAUGGAUUGGUGCCUUCGGGAACUCUGUGACAGGUGCUGCAUGGCUGUCGUCAGCUCGUGUCGUGAGAUGUUGGGUUAAGUCCCGUAACGAGCGCAACCCCUAUCUUUAGUUGCCAGCACAUAAUGGUGGGGACUCUAAAGAGACUGCCAGCGCAAGCUGUGAGGAAGGAGGGGACGACGUCAAGUCAUCAUGGCCCUUACGCCUAGGGCUACACACGUGCUACAAUGGUGCAUACAGAGAGUCGCGAUCCGGCAACGGUCAGCCAAUCUCACAAAGUG